Molecule: ribosomal RNA, 208 nt
Filed under: uncultured bacterium
Lineage: Bacteria
Description: partial 16S ribosomal RNA
Rfam family: Bacterial small subunit ribosomal RNA
Source: RNAcentral
GUCUCAGUUCGGAUUGGAGUCUGCAACCCGACUCCAUGAAGCUGGAUUCGCUAGUAAUCGCGCAUCAGCCACGGCGCGGUGAAUACGUUCCCGGGCCUUGUACACACCGCCCGUCAAGCCAUGGAAGCCGGGAGUGCCUGAAGUGCGUGAGCGCAAGCAGCGCCCUAAGGUAAAACCGGUGACUGGGGCUAAGUCGUAACAAGGUAAC